UGUCUUUAAGAUGAAAGCCAUACCUU
This 26-nucleotide non-coding RNA is filed under the name Rattus norvegicus (Norway rat). The record is from RNAcentral. Lineage: Eukaryota; Metazoa; Chordata; Mammalia; Rodentia; Muridae.